AUGCGGCAGGCACAGGAACAUAGAAUCAAUAAUACCUUCCUAUCUCUGCAAACUAGGCGCACACGGAGUCUUGCAGUUGCUAUUACACAGCAAAAAGACCCUCAAGCAUUGCAUAGACCAUCAAUUAGAAGACAGCAUCAAAUGCAUGGCUGGAUUCAAGUUCAAGUUCCAGCUCAGGAGACAAUGUGGUUUAGAGGAACGAGAAAUGGACUUGGUAUUUGAAAUAUUCAGACUUCUAUCCUGACGGCAUGUCACUGAAUGAAAUUUCUCGGCAAUUCCCUGAGACUCAGUUUCCUAUUUGUGAGAUGAGAGAAAAGGUAAUAUUAUAAAAUUAGAUACCAGCCAUAUAUUAGGCAGUCAGUGCAACGGUCUGAGUGACUUUGAUCUUCCAUGUUAACAAAGAGCCUGCUGGGAAUCUGAUGACUCUUAGUGUUUCCAGAAAUCAAACCCACAAUUAUUUGAAAAUUAUGAAGGGUGAUUCUUCUUUAGGAACAUUUAGAAUGGUCUGUCUAGACUUUGAUAGUAAAUUAAUAAUCAAAUUUGAAGGACUGUAUCCCAUUUGAGUCUUGAUAGAUUAGGGUAAAGGGUAAGAGUGUUGACUUUUAAGUACAUUUUGAUUGAAUCUUGGAUCUAGCUUUUUAUAGCUGUGUAUUCUCCGAGGCUGUGGGAUCAUGUGUUAAAUAAUGUAGUAAUAAAUGAAUAGGCUUAUGGGCAGAAGAGAUUAGUGAUUAGAUAUUAGUGAUUGGGCAAUUACAUCAGUGUAGUCAUCACAUCUGUGUCAAUUUUCCUCAUCUUGCAGUAAAAUCAUCCCCAAAUACAAAGUUCACAUUUUUAUACAGCUAGUAUUGAACUGCAUCUUGGAUUAACAGGGUCCUUGUCUGGGGCUCCACAAAACCUUCCUCUGUCCUCAUCCCCUCUCCAAUGCACAAGGAGUCUUAACCCCAGUACCUCCCCGUUCUCCGAGGACCAAGAAUCAUGCAGUUCCUUCUCCUUGUUGCCCAGACAGUCCUUCCAGAACCAGCACAGCCCUCUUCUCUGGGUCCAUGUGGCUGCGGGCUGAUUGUGCCACUGGUCUGCAUAUCCUUGAACCCGGGGAUGGUCAAGGAUUGCCUGUUGCUGGAUCAUGUACACAGGACACACUGGGCUCAGGGAAUUGAGGAAGGGUAGAGAAAGUGGCUUGGCUGUGGUGUCACUGGUCCUCCAGAGCCUUCCAGGUCAUUAUAUGAGCUUUGGUUCAAAGCAGGAAGUUUGAUGUCAGAUAAAUGCCAUUUUACUGAAUACCUUUUUGGCUUGGCUUCUAACUUUGAAUUCUAGGUAGAGGGUGUGUAGUCCCUCAUUUUCAGAUAUUUUCAAAACCUAAUAAACAUUAGAGGAGGUUGCUUUUUCUAAUGAAAUUGGAAGGUCUGCUGUGUGCCUUUCAGUCCUGAGCCCCGGAGCAUUUAUACCCUGAUAUUUCCAAAGACAGGUGUAGAGGAAAAGGGAGUCAAGGAAAUUCUUGGCAGACAGGCAGAAGCAUUCCUAAGAUAUUUUUAAAUGACUUACAUUUCCCCAAGAAACUCAGGAUUUGGAUUAUCUAAGUAUCAAAAUGGGCCAUGCCGGAAGGUCCUUGGAUCUUCAUCUUUGUGACUUUUCUACAUAUAGAAACAGAUUGGAUUUAAGAACAUUUAAGUGAAAUAAAUUUUCUUUUGUACUACGUAUCCCCAAACAAAAAUAGUCUUUAAAAAGAGCCCCAAAUUGUAUAAGAUAUCCCCUACUUUGAUCAUCAGAUUUAACUUCCAGAACCCAUGUAUCACAUUGCCACUUCCCUGCUCAAUAAAAUUUCGAAGGCUUUCAAUGUCAAAAAGCUAAAGCCAAAAUUAUUUAAUCUUCAUGUAAGACUUCAUAUCCUGGUUUAAGUUUCUUUUUUUAAUUAAAAUUUUAAUUUUGAGAUGAUAUAGAUUUUCAUGCAGUUGUAAGAAAUAAUACAGUGAAAUAAUUCCAUGUACCCUUUAUCGUUUUCCCCAAUGGUUACAUCUUGCAAAAUCCUGGAGCAAUAUCACAACCAGAGUAUUGACACUGAUACAGUCUAGAUACAG
RNAcentral lists this long non-coding RNA (2075 nucleotides) under Sus scrofa (pig). Its description in RNAcentral is "lncRNA (ENSSSCG00005000293.1)". The record is from RNAcentral. Lineage: Eukaryota; Metazoa; Chordata; Mammalia; Artiodactyla; Suidae.